Molecule: ribosomal RNA, 472 nt
Filed under: uncultured bacterium
Lineage: Bacteria
Description: bacterial SSU rRNA
Rfam family: Bacterial small subunit ribosomal RNA
Source: RNAcentral
GGGCUCACACAAGCGGUGGAGCAUGUGGUUCAAUUCGAAGCAACGCGCAGAACCUUACCUGGGCUUGACAUGCUAGGAUUAUCCCUAUGAAAGUAGGGUAGGCCCUUCGGGGUACAACUAGUACAGGUGCUGCAUGGCUGUCGUCAGCUCGUGUCGUGAGAUGUCGGGUUAAGUCCCUUAACGAGCGAAACCUUUGCCCUUAGUUACCAGCGAGUAAAGUCGGGGACUCUAAGGGGACUGCCGGUGUCAAACCGGAGGAAGGUGGAGAUGACGUCAAGUCCUCAUGGCCUUUAUGCCCAGGGCCACACACGUGCUACAAUGGGGUGCACAGAGCGAACCGAGAGCGCAAGCUGGAGGAAAACGCAUAAAUCACCCCCCAGUUCAGAUCGGAGGCUGCAACUCGCCUCCGUGAAGUUGGAAUCGCUAGUAAUCGCGGAUCAGCUACGCCGCGGUGAAUGUGUUCCUGAGCCUU